UUAGCCAAUUUGUUCCAUGAAUUUGAUCAAAGAGACCUAGGAUGCUCAAAGAUGUAAUUGUUAUUUGUUUUUCUGCCUCUUAGUAGUCACAAAAGUGGAAUCAUCCCUGUCGUUUGUUUUCUCAACUAUCGCCUUAAGCGCUUCUUCAAUGGCGUUUAUCCAGUGAUUCACCCCUUGUUGAUUAUCAAUACUACCACCCGAAUGUUGAUCUUCUCCGGUUACAAACAAAACAUUUUUCACACGUCUUCCAAGUGUUGUGAUCUCGGCUUUUAGGGUUCUCAGUCGAAGCAUUUUCAAAGUUUUUAUUAGGUCUUGCAAUAGAUCUGACCGAUCCUCACAACAUAAUGAUGCCCUGAUCACGAUCCUACCUUCUUCAUCGGAUGUGUUGUCAAUCGUUAACUCAUCUAUCUCACUCGGAACUGGUAUUUGUUCAGCGAUGAUGGAAGUUUGGCACUUAAGCUCCUUCACGUGUUGGAUCACUUCCGCAAGUAAUGAAGCCUUGUCCACAGCUUACUUUGGUGGUGUUGGGAAGUAAGCUACGAAGCUUAGUAAGAUGAUUAUUGAUUCGUUCGCGACGUCUUCGUUCUGCUUCGCUGUGGCUUUUCGAGGCGGCUAUGCUUUUCGCAUCCGCGAUCUCUUGAGCAGUCAUAUUCUUAACUGCUUCGGUCUGGAUCUUAAACGGGUCAGAUUCAGGUUGAACGCCCUGGAACCCUAGAUGGUGGUCAGUUGAGGGAGAUGUUGUACUGCUACUCUCAUAGGCAAACUGCAAGCCAUCAACCACCCUCUUAUACAAACCACCAUGGGAAGAGAUAGAUGAAGGAGGAGAAGGUGGUGGAGGACGGUGAAACGGGUGGUGGUCUCCGGUUGGACAUGGAAGAACAUGGUUGUAAGAUGGGUGGUGAUGAUAUUGAUGCAUGAUUAAAGGGAUUUGUGAGGAUGAUGAUGAU
This 947-nucleotide long non-coding RNA is filed under the name Helianthus annuus (common sunflower). Its description in RNAcentral is "hypothetical non coding rna". Lineage: Eukaryota; Viridiplantae; Streptophyta; Magnoliopsida; Asterales; Asteraceae. The record is from RNAcentral.